Molecule: transfer RNA, 71 nt
Filed under: Hemigrapsus penicillatus
Lineage: Eukaryota; Metazoa; Arthropoda; Malacostraca; Decapoda; Varunidae
Also listed under: 1 other name
Description: tRNA-Lys
Source: RNAcentral
UACUCGGUGACUGAAAAGUAAGUGUAGAUCUUUUAAAUCUAACAUAGUAGAUUCUCACCUACUUCGAGUAA